RNAcentral lists this ribosomal RNA (491 nucleotides) under Vibrio alginolyticus. RNAcentral describes it as "bacterial SSU rRNA". It matches the Rfam family "Bacterial small subunit ribosomal RNA", at positions 60 to 537 of the family's 1533-position model. Lineage: Bacteria; Pseudomonadati; Pseudomonadota; Gammaproteobacteria; Vibrionales; Vibrionaceae. The record is from RNAcentral.
AGUCGAGCGGGAACGAGUUAUCUGAACCUUCGGGGAACGAUAACGGCGUCGAGCGGCGGACGGGUGAGUAAUGCCUAGGAAAUUGCCCUGAUGUGGGGGAUAACCAUUGGAAACGAUGGCUAAUACCGCAUGAUGCCUACGGGCCAAAGAGGGGGACCUUCGGGCCUCUCGCGUCAGGAUAUGCCUAGGUGGGAUUAGCUAGUUGGUGAGGUAAGGGCUCACCAAGGCGACGAUCCCUAGCUGGUCUGAGAGGAUGAUCAGCCACACUGGAACUGAGACACGGUCCAGACUCCUACGGGAGGCAGCAGUGGGGAAUAUUGCACAAUGGGCGCAAGCCUGAUGCAGCCAUGCCGCGUGUGUGAAGAAGGCCUUCGGGUUGUAAAGCACUUUCAGUCGUGAGGAAGGUGGUGUAGUUAAUAGCUGCAUUAUUUGACGUUAGCGACAGAAGAAGCACCGGCUAACUCCGUGCCAGACCCGGGGGGGGUAAAUAA